Brassica napus (rape) is the source of this 1649-nucleotide long non-coding RNA. RefSeq lists it as uncharacterized. The transcript has 8 exons. NCBI's taxonomy places the organism in Eukaryota, Viridiplantae, Streptophyta, Magnoliopsida, Brassicales, Brassicaceae. The record is from RefSeq and is a predicted model, not a curated record.
UCUUUAUAUAUAAAAGAUGUUUUGCUCUCUCCUGAGGCUGCCACCUAGGAUUCCACUUAGGAAAGUCGCUUCACGAGGAGUCAACACGUGUCCCGCCUGCUCGAAACACAGCGUUUCAUUAAAGGAAUCAGCGAUCCAUAUGGGCUAAGUUUGUGUGUGGGCUUUUUUUAAUUUGGCACAAGAAAAGCAGCCCGAUAGCAGUCAACCCUAAUAACACAAUGUUCAUCUCCGUUCUUUGUUCUUCGUCAUCUGAUCUUCUUUUUCAUCAACCAAAAACGUUACCAGUUACAGAUUCGUCUCAUUAAACCUCUUCUUAACUCCAUCAACCACGAUCUGGUCUUGAAUGUGAACUUCUCUUCUCCGAGGCGGUGUCACUGCGAAUAUAAAAAGUUAAGCCUUCAUCUUCUCAAAACCAUCUUCUCGAUCUGUUGAACCAACAAAGUAAAGUUAUUUUCACAUAAAUGGCUAACUUGAAAGUUCUUAUUUCUCAUUUGAAAUCUGGUAAAUUUUCUUCUCCGGUUGAGGUUAGGUUGAUGCGUUGACUUCCUCUGCCUAGCAAAGGGAAACAUGAACGGUUAGUGGCUACACUCAGUCGAUUCGUCUGGACUUCUUCUUAAAUCGUUAUGGGCAUCAAUAUGCUUCUUCUUGAAGCCAAGGUUGCUCCGGCGAUUUAGAAAACAAACUCAAGUUUUUUCUGUAAGAUUUACAAAUGAUGAUUUAAAGUCAAAGUCUUUACAAGCUGAGUUUGGCGAAAAGAGGAGCUUUGGUCGCGGUUUCUGUAUUACAGUCAAGAGAUUGCAACAUAUAAAAAAAUUACUAAUGCUCUGCUUCAUAGAAGGAUAUUACUGAAGAAAACAAAUCUCAUCCAUGCCCAACAGAGUGGUUAUUCCGUGUUGAUAUUGUUAAUAAAUGGAAAGAGUCUAACGGUUUCAGUGCUGCCCAGAUGUUUAGAGAAUAUCAAGAUGUCUGAUACGGCCUUACUGGGGGAUUAGAAUUCUUUUGGUUCAAUGGAAAAUUAGCUUAGCAGUCCAGUGAGAAAGUGUUGAAGGAUGCAAUGAAACCAUCACAAAACAGUUCUGCUUAUGUCUAUGAAAGCUGGCGUCGAACUGAAUCUAACCGCUUCUUCACACGUCUUCUUAACGCGUAGGGCAGAAAAGAAUGGCAUGUGGAAGAAGCUUCAUUGUUAAAACCAGGUCACCUUCUACACAACUGGGCGUGACAAGUCAGAUAAUAGGAAAACAAAAGCUUGCUACAUGUCUCUCUAAGGUAGUUUUGUUGCUUCCUGAAUUGGUCUAAACAAGCAGAAGAAGGCUAAGGGAAACCGGAACAUUAUCUUCUGGUUGGACACAGAAGCGCUUGGAAUGCAUUGGAUCGUUUGGUGCAAGAAAAUUUUAUGUCUAAGAAACCAGAGGAGAAGAAGGUGGUCAAGUAAAGUGAUGGAAGAUCUAAUUCCAUUAAUGGAGCUAUAAUAGGAGGAAGCUUUAUGCUUGGAUCAACAAGUCUCCACCCAUAAAUGUAGACAAGACAAUCAGUUUUUUUUUUUUUUGCAAUUAUUAUUUGAUCCUAAUAGUCCAAAAACUACCCGUUGACGAAGUCUUUUUCUUUUGUAUUUCUCAUUCACUAUAAAUAAAAAUUUCAAAUUUCUUCUU